This 3051-nucleotide long non-coding RNA is filed under the name Gallus gallus (chicken). RNAcentral's name for it is "lncRNA (ENSGALG00010019793.1)". Lineage: Eukaryota; Metazoa; Chordata; Aves; Galliformes; Phasianidae. The record is from RNAcentral.
GCCGAGGCAGCCCCGCGCCCGGCCGCCCCGCACCACCCGCCGACCCGCGGCUGCGGCCCCGACUGCGCCGCCCUGCGCCCGGCUCCCCGCCACCGAGCCCGGGGAGCCGAGAGGCGUGCGGCGGGGCCGUCGGCCGAGCCCCACAGCGCAGCGGGAGCGGCCGCGGGGCCGGGCGGGGGGCGCCGAGCAGAGGCCGAGGAGCUGCGGAGCGCGAGGGUCCGGCGGUAGCGGCCGGAUGGCGCCGGGAGUCCGAUGGCACGGGGAGGCGGAGCGGGUCGCGGUCUCGGGGACAAACGAGGGGGCGAGAGGAGCGCGGCCGCGCCGCUGCCUCCACCCGGGAGCCGGCGCUGGGGAGGCGGAACCGGGGAGCGGAAUCCCCGCAUCGCCUCCCGCGGACUCGGUGCCGGCCGAGCCGGGACGUCCCGAAGCGCUCCCGGGAGGGGCAGCCCCGGCACCGUCGCCCCGCGCUCGGGAACCGCUGGCCGUGCCCCGGGGCGACAGCCUCUGCCAAAGCCGUAGGGUCUGUGUGCGGAAAGUGCCACGUGUGAGUGUGUCGUUUCAGCUGAGUUUUGCAUGCAGUUGAAGAACAAUAUUUGUCAUGAAGAUUUCAUCUAAGUCUUCCUUGAAGCAGAAUGAAUUCCAGACUCGAGACCUCAUCUAAAUCAAACUGGAAUCUGUAUUAAGCUCAGAGUACAUUUUCAUUGUGUUUAUGUUCUACUUAUUUUUUUUUUUUAUUUUUAUUUUGCUGGCUGAAAUUAGCAUGUAUGGAACACCAAGUGUAGGGGACUGAGCUGUAUUCUUCUCUCCAGGAUAGUAAAGACAACGUUUUUGCUUCACAGAAAGAAAGGAAACAAACAACAAAAACAUAGAAAGAUGGUAAUACUUAUUCACUCCCACAUACCCUGAAGAAUCAAGACAGUAAUGAGAAGACACUGUAUUUAACCACUGUACUGACAGAAGAAUCAGUGAGCUUCAUAGCAGAAUAUUUAGUCUGAGAUAUUCUUACUCAAAGACAGCCCUUCAAAUGUUCACAUAACUGUCCACUUGUGCUCUGAGGGGAAAGAGAAAGUAAAUCAAGAACGCCUUCCUUAGAAAAACUGAAGAUUAAAUCUCAGUCUCAGUUGAGUUCCUACAUCUUCCACUGCUUUACACUCUAUGGGCUGCAAGUCUGUUCUGAGGCACAGGUACCCCAAAUGUACAUUUUACAUAAAUUAAAGAACCACUGUGGAAAUUACAUGAAGUGCUGGAGAAUAUAAUCCUUUCUGAGUUGUCUGACACACUCCAGAAACAGAUCUCUGCGGGAAACACUGAUUAUACAUACCAGGUUUAAAAGCAGAACUAACAGUUGAAAGCUUGUUGAACAACGCAAUGAUACUGUAUUUCUUAACUUGGAAAGGUGUUCAUCCAUCCUGCUCAGCCAGGAUGUUCAUCCGGCCCGUUUACCAUUUAUGAGACAUUGUGUUAGCAUUGAAUUAGCUUAUAGAUUGUUUUAAUAUGACUUGAAGCAGUAGGGUGUAUAAUUGUUUGAAUGUUCCUUUCCACUGACUGCACAGCAUUACUUCUUUCUGCACCUGAGAAAGCUUUUUCCUCCACCUGAACACUUAACGAGCAAAUUUCCAGACAUUCAGAAGCAAAUGCAAACAAUUUAGAACAGACCUUGUUCCUGCGAUUAAGGCCAAAAAAGAAACUACUCAAAGGAGCCCAUACAGCUAUGUUUUGUAACAUUUUCUCUUUUCUGUGGCACUUGUUAUUAUUUUCUUCAGCAAGGCACUGUGGCACAAGACACCCUUCCUUAUCCUGUUCUCUGGAGAGAAAAGUAGUUCUGCAGUCUCUGUACUGCAAGUUCUGUGUGAAUACAAAAUGUAUGAAGACUCAGUGAAAUGAGCAAUUUCGGUUCCAUUUAAUAUUCUUUAGGCUGCUGUUAUUUUCUGCAACAUUUUUUUAAGUUCUGUGUCAUGUUGUUGAAAUUGUGAGUUAAAUUUGCCACUAAUUAACAAGAGGACUUUACCAAUGAAACCCUGCUUUGGAAAUCCCUAUGACUGUGCUUUAAAUUGCUUGCAUACAUGCACUCUAUAGUGUAUUUGCAUCAAUGACAGCAUGUGAUAAAUAGCAUUAUGUGAGUUAAUUAAUGACUGCAUAGCAUAUUCAGAUCAUAAGCAGUCAAAAGCAUUACAAUGAUGUUUUUUACAUCUGCUAAAAUUUUUAUAAGCCAGAAAUAAAAGACUGAGUAAAGGUGGCCAUGUGGGUUGGCAAUUAAUUGGAAAAUCACCAAAGAUUACAUAGUGAGUGAAGCACUUACUGAAAAAAAGCAAAAAUGAGAAAAUGCAGCCAUUUGGGAUAUCUGUUAUUAAACCUUCAAACAAAUGUAAACAUGUCCUUUAAAAAAAAUACAAUUUUGUAUACUGCAUUAGUUUGCAAUGAAUAUGACAUGUAGUGCAUGAGAAAGUACUCCUUGGUCAGUACAGGACAUAGCAAAAUGCCUAGCACAUUAAAGCUUGUGUGUGAAAUGUGUAUGGAUACCAAGUUGACCAGUGAGAUGACAAAAUAUUUAUGUUAUUCUAAAUAUAAAAUGUCAUACACUUGUAUCUACAUUCUCUUCCUUGGACAAUCUAGUUACUUGUAUUCUCUUCAUUAUACAGUGAAGUAAUUUACUAAGUCAUGAGUCUGUGUCAAUUAUAUUUAGAUUUAACAGAAGUUCUAGAAACUGGACAGAUAAAUGACAUUACAAGAUCAGGUGAAGUAAUUAUCAAUCAUGCUAAUUACAGGUGUUUUAUUAUGUUUAAGUUUAUGACCUACUAAGGCUUGCAACAGUCCUGGAAGAGAAAUAAUAUGAUAGAUGUCUUACAUAUGGGUAGAUAAAAAAAGUUUGAAGUAAGCUGAUCAGGGUCUCUGUAUCUGAUCCUUACAUUUAGGUCAUACUUCCAGCUAUGACAUCAUAUAUGAUAAAAGUAUUCAAGCUAAGCAAAUCCUAUUAUUUAUUAAAGAGUCUCUCAGUAUAACCUUCUCUUUCCAAAGUUAGGAGUAAAAAUUGUAUCAGAUUCAUAAUAACUU